AGCUUUAAAGAGCGAAGAGAGAAAGAGAGGAGAGCGCGCAAUUUGCCUGGAUUGCUGCGUGCCUAUUUGUUGUUGCCGUUGUGGAGUGCGGCCGUCUGGCGCUAUUAUUAGAGAGUUACCGUUGCUUUAUUAUUGCCUGCCUGCUUGCCUGCCUGCCUGCUACUAUUAUUGCCUGCCUAUAUGUGUGUAUGCCUGUGUAUGCAUGAGUGUGUGUGUGCUUUGCUAUUGUAUUGGUGUUGUAUUCGUGUUCUGUGCAUAUUUUGCGCGUUUUUUGUUUUCAGUUUUGUUAACGUCGUCGUCGUCGCCGCCUCGCAACGCUGCUGCCAAAGCAGAGAGUCCGCAGCAGAAAACAAAGCAAAGGCAAGAGCGCAAAAAGAAGAGUAAAGAAAAGACCAAAGCAAAUACGCCGCUAGCCGCAAUUUCGCAGCGCACAAAUCGCACGCCAUUUUGUAUUAUGCUUCAGAAAUAUUACGAAACAUUCUAGAGAGGGGCGUAUUGGAGCAACAACAACAGCGAUCAUAGCAAUAAUCGAUUAAUCGAUCGAUCAAUCAAUUAUCAGCACCAACAACAAGAA
Long non-coding RNA from Drosophila navojoa, 574 nucleotides. Lineage: Eukaryota; Metazoa; Arthropoda; Insecta; Diptera; Drosophilidae. The record is from RefSeq and is a predicted model, not a curated record.